Non-coding RNA from Rattus norvegicus (Norway rat), 69 nucleotides. Lineage: Eukaryota; Metazoa; Chordata; Mammalia; Rodentia; Muridae. The record is from Rfam.
GGGGAUUUAGCUCAGUGGUAGAGCGUUUGCCUAGCAAGCGCAAGGCCCUGGGUUCAGUUCCCAGCUCCG